Molecule: unclassified non-coding RNA, 216 nt
Filed under: Hevea brasiliensis (rubber tree)
Lineage: Eukaryota; Viridiplantae; Streptophyta; Magnoliopsida; Malpighiales; Euphorbiaceae
Source: RNAcentral
CUUAUCCUCAUUAUAAAGUAAAUGAGUACUUAUAUCAGAAAGGCAAGCCAAAGCUGCAUAUAUGUACUCAUUUACUUUAUAAUGAGGAUAAGGAGAAAGAUGACCACUGCCAGUACAAAAAUUCCCAGUAGCCACCAACACCAUGAGGAUCUGGAUUUCACACUUUUUGAAGCCCUUGCUAGCUGAACUUUUGCUUGGGUUGUUGCAGCAGCAGAA